GAAAUGCGAUAAGUAAUGUGAAUUGCAGAAUUCAGUGAAUCAUCGAAUCUUUGAACGCAUCUUGCGCUCCUUGGUAUUCUGAGGAGCAUGCCUGUUUGAGUGUCAUUAAAUUCUCAACUACACUGACUUUGAUUGGUGUGGCUUGGAUUUGGGGGUUGUGGGCUUUUUGUAGUCUGCUCCCCUGAAAUUAAUUAGCGGUACCUUGGUGGAACUGUCUACAGGUGUGAUAAUUAUCUACAUCCUAGACAUCUGCUGGAAUGCUGCUUUCUAGACCUUACUUGUAUUGACAAUCUUGACCUCAAAUCAGGUAGGACUACCCGCUGAACUUAA
This 330-nucleotide unclassified non-coding RNA is filed under the name uncultured Inocybe. Its description in RNAcentral is "sequence contains ITS1". The stretch from base 1 to 105 matches the Rfam family "5.8S ribosomal RNA", at positions 50 to 154 of the family's 154-position model. Lineage: Eukaryota; Fungi; Basidiomycota; Agaricomycetes; Agaricales; Cortinariaceae. The record is from RNAcentral.